CUGAUAUAUAUGAGUAUGGUUAACAUGUGUGAGCUGAUUACUGCCACGGUCCUUGGGUCUCUCCAAGUGUUUGGCACUGAUGGACAAGUAUUUCACCCUGCAUAGCUUGUUAGUUUGACAACACUAUUUGUGCAGACAAAUGUCAUCCUGAAUCACGUUUUUAACUAUCCAGUGCAGUUAAGAUGAAUAAUGAAUUCACUUCCACAUUUUGAAAGAUAUUUGAAUUGAUUUCUUGUCUGUUUCAGAUUGCAGUUCUUCUGGAGUUAAAGGAGAGGCUAAUUUCGUAAGGAGUGCCGAUGAAAGUUACUUCAACAACAUUUAUGAAGAAGUCCAUUCGGGAGCUCCACGCCACGGCGAGAGUAUUAACUGCCCCGACGCAGGAGUUUCGAUCACGGGCUUCGAUCGUCGGCUGCGGGGGCUAUGAUUGCCCCAACUGCGGAUGGUUUGCCUGCCCCGACCGUAGAAGAACAAAGAGGAAGAAGAUUGAACUUUAUUACCUUCCAUUACAGUGAAGAAUGGGGAAUCUACUGUGGUGGAUGUUUAUGUUAAACUUUUAUGUGGUUGUGUGUCUUGUUGCUUUUCACUUAGUAUGGCUGUAUGGUAACUCAUAUUUCACUGUACCUUAACUGCUACAUGUGACAAUAACCUGACCUUGAAACUUUGAGACCUUGAAACCUUGAAGAUUUACUUAAUUUGAUUCAAUUGCACAAAAUUGAGAGGAACCCGAUAAAUAUUGUUGCAAAAUGUUGCUUAAAUUUUUGUCAUUAGAUUAAAUGAGUUCAAGAUUUCCAGAUUUCUUUUACAUUUGAACUGCAUCGAAUGAUGGCAAACUUAGCGUUGUGGAAAUAAAAGCUGGCUGGAUCUUGCAGCUGGAUACAUUACAACCCGCAGGGCUCUGCUUUGAUACAAGGACUUGCCUCCAGCAAAUUAAUGUCUACACAUGGAUCAUUAGUCAUUCUGGCAGAAUUAAUGGUAAAAAUGUGAUAUAAUGAUCAUACGCAAUCUAUUCAAAGCUUUACGCAGAAAAAUAAAAUUAUCUACUCAAGAAAUGGAACAUUGGAUGCCACUUCUAUUGGUAUAAUUGCUAACAUAGUUUUUUGUAUGUUCAAUUAUCAUAAUACUGUUUAUAAAUCCAGAUAAAUAGGAUUCACAAAUGUCAUAAAACACAGCUGACUUUGUCAUAGUUUAAAAAUCUCAUGCUAUGCAACAAGUACCCAAAGGUUGGAAUUUACUCAACUUCCCAAAAAUAAUUUACAAGCAAACAUUAAUUACAAUUAAUAACAUUUCUUGACACUGA
Long non-coding RNA from Leucoraja erinaceus (little skate), 1297 nucleotides. RefSeq lists it as uncharacterized. The transcript has 2 exons. The record is from RefSeq and is a predicted model, not a curated record. NCBI's taxonomy places the organism in Eukaryota, Metazoa, Chordata, Chondrichthyes, Rajiformes, Rajidae.